AAAUGAGGAUUUCUUAGUUGAUCAUUUGUCAUCCACUUUGGAGGCAGAACUGGUUACCUUUUGCUCUGUUUCUACUUCUGCCUUCGAGUAUGUUAGAGGUGGAUGUAUGUAUAACUGUAGCACAAGCAAAACAGAUAAUAGGGCCACGACUUUUUCAGGGAGAAGGGCCAAAAUCCGUCACUACAAGCGCCAAGUUCAGAGAGAAAAAAUAUUGAAGCACCUGAAUAGGACAGUAAAUGUCAGCAGCUAUGCCGAGAUGACUUUGGCAUUAGCUGAGAUACAGUUGCGAUCAGACCUCAUUGUAAAGACACUGACUGAUUUGUAAUUGCACUUUAAAAAUCAUGAUUUAAAGUGUUUCAUAAUUAUUGGCCUCUCUUGUUAUCCUUUGUUAAUAUAAAUAUAAAAGUUUAUUAUAUAGUC
Molecule: long non-coding RNA, 420 nt
Filed under: Rattus norvegicus (Norway rat)
Lineage: Eukaryota; Metazoa; Chordata; Mammalia; Rodentia; Muridae
Description: long non-coding RNA NONRATT030949
Source: RNAcentral